Molecule: ribosomal RNA, 728 nt
Filed under: unidentified archaeon
Lineage: Archaea
Description: bacterial SSU rRNA
Rfam family: Archaeal small subunit ribosomal RNA
Source: RNAcentral
AUAACCCCGGGAAACUGGGGAUAAUUCCGGAUAACGCACAUAUGCUGGAAUGCUUUAUGCGUGAAAUGGAUUCGUCUGCCCAAGGAUGGGUCUGCGGCCUAUCAGGUAGUAGUGGGUGUAAUGUACCUACUAGCCUACGACGGGUACGGGUUGUGAGAGCAAGAGCCCGGAGAUGGAUUCUGAGACAUGAAUCCAGGCCCUACGGGGCGCAGCAGGCGCGAAACUUUACAAUGCGGGAAACCGUGAUAAGGGGACACCGAGUGCCAGCAUCCUAUGCUGGCUGUCCAGGUGUGCAAAAUACACCUGUUAGCAAGGGCCGGGCAAGACCGGUGCCAGCCGCCGCGGUAACACCGGCGGCCCGAGUGGUGAUCGUGAUUAUUGGGUCUAAAGGGUCCGUAGCCGGUUUGGUCAGUCCUCCGGGAAAUCUGACAGCUUAACUGUUAGGCUUUCGGAGGAUACUGCCAGACUUGGAACCGGGAGAGGUAAGAGGUACUACAGGGGUAGGAGUGAAAUCUUGUAAUCCCUGUGGGACCACCUGUGGCGAAGGCGUCUUACCAGAACGGGUUCGACGGUGAGGGACGAAAGCUGGGGGCACGAACCGGAUUAGAUACCCGGGUAGUCCCAGCCGUAAACGAUGCUCGCUAGGUGUCAGGCAUGGCGCGACCGUGUCUGGUGCCGCAGGGAAGCCGUGAAGCGAGCCACCUGGGAAGUACGGCCGCAAGGCUGAA